UCCCACGGCCAGCCAUCGGCGCCGCUCCUACUCUGCCCGGCCUAUCCCUCGGCCAACCGCCGUCACGCUGGUCGCUCCCUCACCAGGUCAGCCACUGCCACACCCGAUGCUCUCUGGGCCAGCCACCGCGACCGAUGCUCCUCAGCCUGCCGCCGUCGCUGCAAACGACGCUCCUCUGCAUGCUGCCGCCACCACGACCGAUGAUCUCCCGUGAAUUAAUUCUCUUCCCGCUACCGCUCUGUAGCCACCACUAGCCUUCCGCCUCCACGACGUCUGCCAUCCCAGCCACGAAUGCACAUGAAACGACAUGCCACACCACAUAAUUCAUCACCUAUUCAUUACCUCACUUUCCGUUACCCUGCAAAUGCGUAAUAAAAUGGGUUUAAAUACCCUAUGUGGUACCAUCGUCAUCCAUGACACACGCCUUCUCGCGUCCCAUCUGGGAAGAGGCCUCCGGCCAGGUUGCGCUUCAGGACAAAGGUGCUCGACUCCACGUUAUGCUUCAAACAUCUCUUACUUGCUGGGAAUUGUUUCAUUACUUCACAUGCCCCUUUGCAUUUUUUCCCCCUGAUUUGUGCUUUACUCUCACUUUGUCAUGUGCAACAAUGGUAAAAUGUUAAUAUGAAAAAUCAGGCUUUCAAAUUCCAUGGUACUUGCUAUAGUUCUUUUAGAUACAGAUCGAUUGCUCAUCCAAAUAAACUAUGUUGAUUAUGGAAAAUUAGGCUUUCAAAUUUAAUGGUACUUGCUAUAGUUCUUCUAGAUACAGAUCGAUUGUUCAUCCAAAUAAACUCUCUUGGUUCCUCAUAUUAUUAUACCCGAAACACUCCCUCUAGGUACUAGAUGAACUGAUCGAAAAGAGGCAAGGGGUAAGGUUAUCGAUUCAUUUUUUGGACAGUUCAGUUAGUUAAAUGAUUAUGUGGGCAUAUGAGUAUAUUUGUUACCAAUGCAACAUAUAUCUUUGAAAAAAUUAAGAUAGACCAUGGUGUUCAUGUCGAUUCUAUCAGCAUUUGUGUUAUCCUCCUUCUGCACUAUCCCAGAUUGCACUCCCGGAUCGCACGUGACGGACAUUUUGCUUCAUAGAUCUCUUGCUUCUUGCAUCGAUCAAAAAUGGAGUCUAAUGCUGGAUCAUCCUCUUCCCCAAGUGAAACGUUCAGUGAAAUAGAUAAUCAUAUGGAAUGUCUCUAUAUUACACCAAACGAGGCUGUUUGGCGCUUGCCUGAGUAUCACAUUCACCCUACAUACCUGUCCACAAAAAGACUCCCUGUUAUACUUAAUGGAAUGAAGAAUGAUUCAGUAUCCCAGUUCCCCAUAGGUCAUGUCAAAAAGAAAAGCUUCUCAAUCAACAACGCACACGUGCUUCGCUCUACAAAGCCAUCUCCAAUCAAAGAAUUGAUGACCCAUCCAUCUUCAACAAUAAAUAUUGAGAGUAUGAUGAUCCAAACACCAGAGGACUCAAACAAUACUACACAUCCCUCUUGCCCAGGCGCAACUAUCAACACUCAGAAAAAACAAGACAAGCACUCUUUAGCUAAAAGGAUCGCUGAAUUUACAGAAGAUGAAACCACCAACAAAGAGAGUCAAAAGGAGGUUGAUCUUGAGGCUGCAGAACUUCAUCUUCAAGUUGUCAAAAAGCAUAAGCAACACAAUGCAGGAAACAACAUGACAAUGAAUAGCUAAGAAAGGCCAAGAGGAUAACACCGAUAAAAAAACAUAGGUACUGUCAGUUUCAUGUCCAAAGAAAAUUGUCCGAAAGUUAGGAUAUUGUCAAGCACUCACUCAAGCAGCAACAAACUACACUGCCUUCUAUUUGAAUUACUUACAUUGUGGCUUUAAUUGUAAUCUCUAUCAUUAGUAGUACUUUUGGGUGAUCCGAUGCAUGUACUGAGUUAUGGAUAAUGCUUAUGCAACUAUAUACGGGCCGGAUUACAUUGCCUUUUAUUUAUAUAUAUUUAUAUUGUGGCUCACUUUUUCAA
Triticum dicoccoides is the source of this 1973-nucleotide RNA transcript. RefSeq lists it as uncharacterized. The transcript is spliced from 9 exons. Lineage: Eukaryota; Viridiplantae; Streptophyta; Magnoliopsida; Poales; Poaceae. The record is from RefSeq and is a predicted model, not a curated record.